UGGUGGAGUGAUUUGUCUGGUUAAUUCCGUUAACGAACGAGACCUCAGCCUGAUUAGUUAGUAAAUGUCAUCCUUACGGAUGGGAAUUUGCUUCCUAGAGGGACUAUCGGUUUCUAACCGGUGGAAGUAUGAGGCAAUAACA
Molecule: ribosomal RNA, 142 nt
Filed under: uncultured eukaryote
Lineage: Eukaryota
Description: partial 18S ribosomal RNA
Rfam family: Eukaryotic small subunit ribosomal RNA
Source: RNAcentral